GUACAAAGAUGUUCAUUUUAGCAUUGUUUGAGCAUUCACUGAAGCAAAACCACCUAAAUUGAAAACCACAUGAAUAUCCAUCAAUGAGUUCAUAGGUAAAUCAAUCCAGAUUGGGAUAUCUGCCUUCAUCCCCUAGUUCAAUCAGUGAAGACUGAUACACCUUCUUAUAUGAGCUGCAUUCCUUCAUCUCAUGACAAAAAUAAACAUGAUUUUAAAAGU
Pan troglodytes (chimpanzee) is the source of this 219-nucleotide long non-coding RNA. RefSeq lists it as uncharacterized. NCBI's taxonomy places the organism in Eukaryota, Metazoa, Chordata, Mammalia, Primates, Hominidae. The transcript is spliced from 3 exons. The record is from RefSeq and is a predicted model, not a curated record.